GCAAAACGCGAAGAACCUUACCAGGUCUUGACAUCCCGCUGACCGCUCUAGAGAUAGAGUUUUCCCUUCGGGGACAGCGGUGACAGGUGGUGCAUGGUUGUCGUCAGCUCGUGUCGUGAGAUGUUGGGUUAAGUCCCGCAACGAGCGCAACCCUUGAUCUUAGUUGCCAGCAUUUAGUUGGGCACUCUAAGGUGACUGCCGGUGAUAAACCGGAGGAAGGUGGGGAUGACGUCAAAUCAUCAUGCCCCUUAUGACCUGGGCUACACACGUGCUACAAUGGACGGUACAGAGGGUCGCAACCCCGCGAGGGUGAGCAAAUCCCAUAAAACCGUUCUCAGUUCGGAUUGUAGGCUGCAACUCGCCUACAUGAAGCCGGAAUCGCUAGUAAUCGCGGAUCAGCAUGCCGCGGU
RNAcentral lists this ribosomal RNA (410 nucleotides) under uncultured bacterium. RNAcentral describes it as "bacterial SSU rRNA". It matches the Rfam family "Bacterial small subunit ribosomal RNA", at positions 954 to 1363 of the family's 1533-position model. The record is from RNAcentral.